AAUAGACAGAAGUUAGGAAAGGGGAACAACAAACAAUCCUUUUAAUACAAGUUAAUUCACUAUCAGCAGCAAAUCAGAAAUGGAUCUUAAAGAUAUUCAGAGAAGUGGCCAUGCAUAACUGAGAGGAGCUACUGCAACUGCAGAGAAGAGAGCAUGAAGGUGAUUGUCUGAGAAACUGGCAAAUGUACAGAUGAGAGUGAGAACACUGGCAUACCAGAGGGGGCCACAGGUGUCACAAAGCUCAGCAAGAGAGGAUUAGUAUUAUGAGGAAUGAAGACAAUGUGAGAGAGCUUGAAUUGCUGCACUGCUUCCUCUGUGGAUAAAAUGGAGAACUUUGAUUUCCAGAUGAGUACGACAGCCUGGAGGGAGCCCCCAUGGUUUCAUCCACAGAAGGGGAACACUCGCUAAAUCACAUGUGCAAUGGAGCUGUGCCAGUUCCACUGCAAGAGGGCCCUCUGGACCUCUGGAGAAAGUGGGCAGUAUUUGUCCCCUAUAGAAUACUGAGAAGUCAGAGGCUGGGAAAGGCAGCCAGAGUUCCAAAUCAGAAGGUGGAUGAAAAAAACCCAACUGUGUUCAUGCUAAUUCUUCUGGUUUUUAUGUUAAAAGGUUAAAUUCAC
Mauremys reevesii (Reeves's turtle) is the source of this 617-nucleotide long non-coding RNA. RefSeq lists it as uncharacterized. NCBI's taxonomy places the organism in Eukaryota, Metazoa, Chordata, Testudines, Geoemydidae. The transcript is spliced from 4 exons. The record is from RefSeq and is a predicted model, not a curated record.